RNAcentral lists this ribosomal RNA (276 nucleotides) under uncultured bacterium. RNAcentral describes it as "partial 16S ribosomal RNA". It matches the Rfam family "Bacterial small subunit ribosomal RNA", at positions 1225 to 1500 of the family's 1533-position model. The record is from RNAcentral.
CUACAAUGGCGUAAACAAAGGGAAGCGAAACCGCGAGGUCAAGCAAAUCCCAAAAAUAACGUCCCAGUUCGGACUGUAGUCUGCAACCCGACUACACGAAGCCGGAAUCGCUAGUAAUCGCGAAUCAGAAUGUCGCGGUGAAUACGUUCCCGGGUCUUGUACACACCGCCCGUCACACCAUGGGAGUCGGAAAUGCCCGAAGUCAGUGACCCAACCGCAAGGAGGGAGCUGCCGAAGGCAGGUCCGGUAACUGGGGUGAAGUCGUAACAAGGUAUC